Molecule: long non-coding RNA, 1174 nt
Organism: Salvia splendens (bonfire salvia)
Lineage: Eukaryota; Viridiplantae; Streptophyta; Magnoliopsida; Lamiales; Lamiaceae
Exons: 3
Source: RefSeq, a predicted model, not a curated record
CCAUCUCUACUGCCACAUCCCACGUCUCUCUCUCUAUCUUAUUUUUUUUUUCCCAAUUCUCCAUCUCCGUCGCCUCUCUCCGAUUCACUCCACGCUGCCACGCAGCCGCUGCUGUUCACCAGCCGUCGCCGGGAGGACGCUGCUUCUGUCGCCGUUGCUCGCUGCUGGUGGCCGUCGUCCAGCCACUAGUCAGCCGCUGCUGCUGCCACUGCACAGAGCCAGGUGCUGAUCGCUGCUGUUCCGUUGGUGGUCGUGCAGCACCAAAACGUCACCACAGCCCCCCGAUUCGUCCCGAAACUCACCCGAAAAGCCCCGCACAACCCCGGAACAGCCCCGAAAGCUAAGUUUCUUUUACAAUUAUGUUAUUUCGAUCACUCACAGUGAGAGUUCCAUUAUUGAUGUCCGAUGGGUGUGUUCGAUUGAUUGCGUUAUUGAUUGAGUUACUUGUCGAUUUAAUUCCGAGUUAACGGUGAUGAUAUGUGUUUGAAGGCUGUAUUUUUAUUCAUGUAGUUCGAUUCUUACAGUAGAGGAAAGGGCUGUCUAAAAUACACAAUAUGAUACACAAGAAAUCUUCUAUACAUGGUAUGGAUGGAUUUCUGCCCUGUUUUGGUCAGAGGUUUGAGGAAGGUAUUGGACUAUGAUGAAUCAGUUUCUGAGUCCAUCAAUUUGGAUCGAAAAGCAUGCUCUGAUGCCAUGUUUGAAGGCUGUAUUUUUAUUCAUGUAGUUCGAUUCUUACAGUAGAGGAAAGGGCUGUCUAAAUACACAAUAUGAUACACAAGAAAUCUUCUAUACAUGAAUUGAAGAGGGAAGAUGAAAGGUGGAAGGUCAUGGCUGAUUGGGAGUCUAAAGAGUUGGCGUUUGGGAAGGAGAGGAAAGAUCUUGGGCUUGCAAAGAUGUUCUAUGAAGAAUUUUGGGCUCAAUAUGUUAUUUAUAGAAUUUGGCCCAACUUUGUUAAAGAAUAAGAAAAUUUAGAUGGCCCAACACUCAAAAAAAUUAACAAGGACAUUUGGACUUGUAAAAUAAUAAAUUUAAUAGGUCCAAACAUGUAUAUUCCUUUUUUUCAAUAAGGAAACAAAGAUGAAAAUUUUGCAGGUGUACAAACGACGUCCUUUCAAGAAUAAGUAAAAAGGUAGAAAAAGUCGGGGUGUUACACCCCAUCAUCCGCAUAACAGAG